GGAAGUGUGCCUGAAAUACAAGGGCUACUUUGAUAAAGCAGACAUGGGACUCAAUCAACCCCACUUCCCG
Molecule: transfer RNA, 70 nt
Filed under: Diporiphora amphiboluroides (Mulga dragon)
Lineage: Eukaryota; Metazoa; Chordata; Lepidosauria; Squamata; Agamidae
Description: tRNA-Ile
Source: RNAcentral